AAUUCUUCUCUGGAUAAAAGCUAGAAAAACCAAACACCACAUCUGAAACUUCCAGGCAUCACGGAAACAUCAAGAGAGAGCUUCUCUGGAGGACAGACUAAAGGAAAUCAUUUAAGAAAAGGGAAAAUGGUCCUUAAAGGAAGCAUGGAAAUUCACAACAGAAAGGCUGAUCCAAUUGCUAAUUGAUUCCAGGGUGUCCCCAUCAGCCAUGAGGAACAGCAGGAGCAGUACAUGAAAUGGUGUAGCUGGUGUAGCUGGAAUAUUGGCUGAAUCUUGAGGAUUGACAAGAGGGCUUGUGGGAUAUUCUGGUGGAGAUGGCCAGGAGCAGCUGGAUAUUUAGGCCUGGGGCUCCAGUGAGAAGCCUAAUCUGGAGAGAGAAACACAAGAGCCAUCAGAAUCUAGGACAUUGACAACAGAACCAUGGGAGUAGAUGAGAUUCCCCAGAGGACAAGACUUAAGGCAGUUAAUUCUCAACAAGGUAAGCAUGGGGUGGCAUAUGUCCCUGGGAGGGUUUGGAGUCACCAGAGGGGCUUUACCAAAGCACCAACCUUCAGUUUCAGUAAAUACCCUAGGAAGUGUGACCAAGGGAAACUCUUGUUGAUGAGGAUGUGACCUGGGGUAAGAAGAAAUUUGAGACCCUUGGUAAGAAGAAAAUAGAGUCAAGGUGGGCACAGACAGCAAAGGAAAAAAGGAGCCAGAGAGGAAGAGAGGUUUGAGAAGAUCCGAGAGAAUGUGGUGCCCCAGAGAAUGUGGUGCCCCAGAUAGUCAUUCUCAACUAUGAAUGUGCACCACGAGCACUUAUGACACGGAUUCUUGCCCUUCACUGUUCUGAUGCCAUGGGGCCCUAGAAUCCACAUCAUAAAGAGUUCUGCAGGCACUAUUUCUGAAGUAGAGAAUUUCACGAAGACAGGUGUGGUGGACGGGCUUACACCCCCAGAAGGGAUGGGUCCAGCAAGAUAAAGAUCUGUUGGAUUCCACUCUUCAGGAGGUCACCGGUAACCAUGGAAGAGGUAAUUUUGGUGGUGGCAGCGUGGGUGUAGAAGCCAGAUUGCAGUGGGCUGAAGACCGAAUAGGAGGUGAGAAACAGAAGACGGCAAACGUAGACCCCUUUUAGAAGUUUGGAUGAGAGGCGGAGGCGAGAGCUUCAGCCCCCUCAAAGGCCAACUUCCAUCUCCUGGAGAAACUUGGCAAAGAGGAUUAGGGAAAUCUGGAGGCUGAGUCAGACAUUCCAUGGACCUUAAGAACGCACCAGGAAGGCAAUUUGGGAAUCGGCAAGGGCCGAGCAUACCUCAAGCUGCCAAAUCACAGAACCAAACCCACUGUGCCCUCCUUCCGUCUACCCACUCCAAGUGAGUUCCACCACAUUCACCGCCCAAGUGAUCGUUUCGUGAUUCAUAUCUAUCUUUCAAGUAGGGCACCUACUUGAAACUUCCCAACAGCUACUUUCCCCACUCUCACCCAAGAGAAGACCAGGGAACACUCCCAGGGACUACCCAAGUCCCUGACCUUGGCAUUCAAACCCCUUCUGACUCUGGUGAUCACUUCUUCCCUCUGCAUCUUCACCCCCACCUUCUUCACUGUCAUCUCCCACUGUACCACAUUCACCAUGAACCCAGGCUUCAUGGAAUCACUGGCAGUUCCCCAGUGAACUGUGCUCUCCCGCCCUCAUUAGCCUACUAGUCAGCUUAGACACAGAAAACUCAAGUACCACCUCCUCUGAGAGUUAGUUACUCCCUCCUUGGAGAGAACCAGCACCUUGCGCACACCUGUACCAGAAUACAGAUUUAAAAAAGUCUUAUCAAUUUGUACACAGCUGCCCCUCACUGGAUUGUGUCUUCUCUGGAACCAAGAACCUCAUCUUACUCUUCUUUGAAUGACCAGCAUCUGGCCAGGACUGAGUUCCCAGAAAGUGCCAGUAAUGGGGCACCUGGGUUGCUCAGUGGGUUAAAGCCUCUGCCUUCAGCUUGGGUCUGAUCUCAGGGUCCUGGGAUAGAGCCCCGCAUGGAGCUCUCUGCUCUGCGGGGAGCCUGCUUCCCUUCCUCUCUCUCUGCCUACUUGUGAUCUCUGUCUGUCAAAUAAAUAAAUAAAAUCUUAAAAAAA
Long non-coding RNA from Mustela lutreola (European mink), 2100 nucleotides. RefSeq lists it as uncharacterized. Lineage: Eukaryota; Metazoa; Chordata; Mammalia; Carnivora; Mustelidae. The record is from RefSeq and is a predicted model, not a curated record. The transcript is spliced from 4 exons.